AGGGAAGCACGUGUAACCGGGGCAGGGUUGCAUCAGGAGCUCGCUCGGGUUUUCUACUGCACCCUUGGUUUUUCGAUUGCAUGUAAUACUUCAGCAACAGUCCUCAGAAGCCCAGGAAGCCCGGGAGCAACGACGGGCAGGCUCAAGGAAAGGCCCCACCACGUCCUUUCGGGGGGUCUUGAAUGGCAACUGAUACAAAAUAAGACACAAUCUAUUCUGCUGAUUCACAAUUAUGGAGACUGUGUAACUGAAGACAGAAAACAGGCCUCAAGAGGAGCGCUCGAAGGAGGGAGGGAUUUGCCUGCAUUUGGCUCUGAGCAGGUCCCGGCAGACGCUUGGCGGUUUGUACGUUCGGAGGCUGGGGAGCCCCCUGGUUCAGAGGUCCACACAUGAAGUCACCCUGAAGAGAGUGGCUCCCGCUUUGUAAAGACCUCAUCGCCGCCAGGUGAGGCUAAGAUGAGCAUAACCAGUGACGAGGUGAACUUUCUGGUGUAUCGGUAUCUACAGGAGUCAGGUUUUUCCCACUCGGCCUUCACGUUCGGUAUCGAGAGCCACAUCAGCCAGUCCAACAUCAAUGGGACGCUAGUGCCGCCGGCUGCCCUCAUCUCCAUCCUGCAGAAGGGGCUGCAGUAUGUGGAGGCCGAGAUCAGCAUCAACGAGGACGGCACGGUGUUCGACGGCCGCCCCAUAGAGUCCCUGUCCCUGAUCGACGCGGUGAUGCCCGACGUGGUGCAGACGCGGCAGCAGGCCUUCCGGGAGAAGCUGGCACAGCAGCAGGCCAGCGCAGCGGCGGCGGCAGCGGCGGCAGCGGCAGCAGCCACGGCGGCACCGGCGGCCCCGGCAGCCGCGGCGGCUGUUUCCCAGCAGAAUCCACCAAAGAACGGCGAGGCCACGGUGAACGGCGAGGAGAACGGAGCGCACGCGAUAAAUAAUCAUUCAAAGCCAAUGGAAAUCGAUGGGGACGUGGAGAUUCCACCCAACAAAGCCACGGUCCUUCGGGGCCACGAGUCUGAGGUGUUCAUUUGUGCCUGGAACCCCGUCAGUGACCUCCUGGCUUCCGGAUCCGGAGAUUCCACCGCGAGGAUAUGGAACCUCAACGAAAACAGCAACGGGGGCUCCACCCAGCUAGUGUUGAGGCACUGCAUACGAGAGGGCGGCCACGACGUCCCCAGCAACAAAGACGUGACCUCGCUGGACUGGAACAGUGAUGGGACACUGUUGGCUACAGGUUCCUAUGACGGUUUUGCCAGGAUAUGGACGGAAGAUGGUAACCUGGCCAGCACCUUAGGCCAACAUAAAGGCCCCAUCUUUGCCUUGAAGUGGAACAAGAAGGGGAAUUACAUUUUGAGUGCUGGCGUCGACAAAACAACAAUAAUCUGGGAUGCCCACACCGGAGAGGCCAAACAGCAGUUUCCGUUUCAUUCUGCCCCCGCUCUCGACGUGGACUGGCAGAACAACACUACCUUUGCCUCCUGCAGCACGGACAUGUGUAUUCACGUCUGCAGGCUCGGCUGCGACCGCCCCGUCAAAACCUUCCAAGGACACACAAAUGAGGUCAAUGCCAUCAAGUGGGAUCCUUCUGGGAUGUUGCUAGCGUCCUGCUCCGAUGACAUGACAUUAAAGAUCUGGAGUAUGAAGCAGGAUACGUGUGUCCAUGACCUGCAAGCUCACAGCAAAGAGAUCUAUACCAUAAAGUGGAGUCCCACCGGGCCUGCCACCAGCAACCCAAACUCCAACAUCAUGCUGGCAAGCGCUUCGUUUGACUCUACGGUUCGGCUGUGGGACGUGGAGCGGGGCGUUUGCAUCCACACGCUCACCAAACACCAGGAACCCGUCUAUAGUGUAGCUUUUAGCCCUGAUGGCAAAUAUCUGGCCAGCGGCUCCUUUGACAAGUGUGUGCACAUCUGGAACACGCAGGUAAGCCCCCUGCCCCGCGGCUGCAGCCGGUCCUUUCCGCGAGGAGCCCCGCUCGGUCACGUUUGGGUGCCGCGGGCUCAGCACGGCACUGGGGAAGCCGUGCCUGGGGGCCACCUCGGCCCAACCCGGCUCCCUGGGUGGGUAGGCCACAGCUGGGCACCUGCUGCCUGUGGGUCUCCCUGCAAGGGACACCCGUCCACUCCUGUCCCUUCUUCUGAGCCCUUGGCAGGAAACUGUCCCAAUGCCGCCAACUCUUGGGCACAAGCAGUCAUGCUGGAAAAUCCUAACCCAGACACCUUCCCAGCCACUGUGCUCCCCCAUGGCUACCGAGGUCGGGGACCGAGGUCGGUCCUUGCCUUCGAACUUUGCAGGGGACCAGCCGUCUGAUGUGAGGCCAGCCAGCCCUGACCACCUGCGUGCCCCCCGGGCUCCUGGGGCUUCUCCGUGGAGCACGUUGCAGAGUAGUGGCCACGUUCGUUGGCUAUUGUCAGGGCAUUUUGAUUUCUUUCUUUCUUUUUUUUUUUUUUUUUUUUUUUUGGUCUUUUUAGGGCCACACCCUCGGCACAUGGAGGUUUCCAGGUUAAGGGCUAAAUCGGCACUACAGCCGCCAGCCUACACCACAGCUCAUGGCAACGCCAGAUCCUUAACCCACUGAGCGAGGCCAGGGAUCAAACCCGCAACCUCAUGGUUCCUAGUCAGUUUCUUAACCUGCUGAGCCGUGACGGGAACUCCCAGCAUUUUGAUUUUUUGAAGGGAAGUGUUUUUGGUUCGGGUAGCAGAGGGAAUGUCAGUAUCAGGUUAUCCUGUCAGAGAAGCGAAAGGAGAUGGUGUUUGUGUGCAGGUGGUCCUGUGGUGUCUCUGGCCACACCUGAGGAUGAGACAGUUCCAAAUAUGCCGAGUAGGCGGGCACAGGAGCGAGUGGCGGGUAUAACUGUCACGUGGGGCGGUCAGCUCUAUGCUCUCCUGUAAGAGCAGCGUGGGCCUGGAAUUCCCUGCAGGCGGCUGGGGGCCCCUCGUGUGUGACCUCAGGAUGGGUGAAGAGGCCUCCCCUCUCCUGUGUUUAAUUUUUUUUUGCCACACCUGUGGCAAGAGGAAGUUCCCAGGCCAGGGAUCGAAUGCAUGCCUCAACAGCAACCCCCACCACAGCAGCGACCAUGGAGCCACCAAGGAACUCCUUUUUUAAUUUUUUUUCUCCUCUUUUUUUUUUUUUUUUUUUUCCCCUUUUUCUUUUUUGGCCACUCUGUGGCAUAUGGAGUUCCCAGGUUAGGGUUCAGAACUGAGCCACAACAUGGGGUCCUUAACCCACUGUGCCCGGCCUGGGGUCGAACCUGCGUCCCAGUGCUCCAGGGAUGCUGCCAGUCCCGCUGAGCUAUAGUAGGAAGUCCCUGUUUUGUUUUUUCUUUUUCUAACCACACUUGAAGCAUGUGCAAGUUCCAGGGCCAGGGAUCAAACCCCUCACUACAGCAGUUACAAUGCCAGAUCCUUAACCAGCUACACCACAAGGGAACUCCUUUUUUAAAUGUUCACUCUUUUCUUCUCUCCUUUUUUUUUUUUUUUUUGGUCUUUUUGUAUUUUCCUCUUUUCUAGGGCUGCACCCGUGGCAUAUGGAGGUUCCCAAGCCAGGGGUCUAAUUGGAGCUGUAGCUGCUGGCCUACACCACAGGCACAGCCUCUUGGGAUCUGAGCCGCAUCUGUGACCUACACCAUAGCUCAUGGCAAUGCCGGAUCCUUAACCCACCGAGCGAGGCCAGGGAUCGAACCUGAAACGUCAUGGUUCCCAGUCAGAUUCGUUAACCACUGUGCCACGACAGGCACUCCGUCUUCUCCUAUUUUAAUUCCACCCACGUUCAUGAUUCUCUCUGGCCUGGUUGACACCUAGCUGACCUUGCUUCUCCCUUGUGCCGGGGGUGGGGGUUGUACAUGAGCCGCCUUCACCUUAACUGACCUGGCACCAAGGCCCACUGAGACCUCGGGCUCCCUGGAAACCUCCUGCCAUGAACCGUGUCUUCUCAGCGAGCACGAGGCCGUCAGUAGAGGCCCUCAGGUGGAACCGAGCCGAGCCUCACAACCUAGGCAGGAGCCCCAGAAAGCGCACAGCCCGGGUUAACGUGCAGGUGUCUAUCUCCACGGCGCGCCUGCGGGAGGGAGUGAUGGAUGGACGCAUAAAUGACAUCAUCGGUUAGGUGCUGCCUGCCGUGCUGGCGGCAGCUCAUCAAGGCACUGUCCCCCUUCAGAACUCUUUGGGACAUCUUGAUGGAUGCCUUCUCUCAACAUAAAAACACCCACCAUGUGCUGGGCCUGCCUCAGUCUCCCCACCGCCCUCCCCAGGCUGGCCGUGACCCUGGGAGGUGUGACCUGGGCUGAAACGUGCAGGCCCGUUCCCUGCGCAGGUCCACGGUGGUAAGUCUGGGAGACAGGUUUCUACAGCCACCAGGGCGCUUACGGAAAACGCCGCGAGCUUCUGUUUUGAAAACGUCUGUGAUGACGUGCCGGGGACCACGUUGGUGUCCUGCGCGCCCCGUUUCAUGGUGAAUGAUGACGGCUUUGCUUUGCAGAGUGGAAGUCUGGUCCACAGCUACCGCGGCACUGGCGGCAUCUUCGAGGUGUGCUGGAACGCCCGAGGGGACAAAGUGGGCGCCAGCGCGUCCGACGGCUCUGUGUGCGUUUUAGAUCUGCGGAAGUAAACGUGAAAUACCCUAGAAACGAGAAGAGCAUUCGCAUGGACCAGCAGUGAACCUGUGGGGUUGUAGUAACUCUUCAAACACAAUUCCAUCAGCUCCAAACUGUUCGAACUUGACGUUAAAGUAUACUCUGAAAUCAGCUCAUCCCUGGCCACAGGAGUCUAUUUUUUCCUAAUCUUCAUCAAGAAGUUUAAAACAAAAGCAUACACACACCGUCACAUCAAAGAGGGAAAGAACGGUUUCCACCUGGAACAUUCAGCCCGGGAAGCAUGAAGCCACCAGCCAGACAGCGCACCAGCCAUCCAGCACAGGCUCUGAUGGCUAAGAGGAGAGAAACAAAACAAAACAAACAGCAAGCUGUGCCAAAAAGAAAAAAAGAAAAAUGCUGUGAUAAAACCAAAAGGGGGGGAAAGACACUCAUCCACGUGGUGGGUAUUUUUUUUUUUUUUCCAAGAAUUUGGACACUACAGUUACUCUCACAAGGAUGUUCAAAGACCAGUUUGUACCGAUGAAAUGGGCGACUUUGUAAUCCCAACACUUUCUAUUUUCUAGAAUCUUUGUCCCGUGGUUUUUCUACCGGCUGCAGUCCUGUCGUCUGGGGCCCUGGGGUCUGAGGUAGUAACUGUUUGGGGUUCGUUGCUUCUUUUCCUGCUGUAGCCUCUUUCCUUCCUUCGUGUCUUGAUUGGCAGCUCCCCUUCCCUAGAGGCAGCCUCUCGGAAGAUGCCGGGAUCUCUGAGGCCCAGCGCCCCCCCCCCCAUAGCUGCUUCCCACCUUAGGUCUCAAGGGCACUUUCGUGGCAGAUUUAAUAAGUGCUUUAUGUAAGAAGGCAGGGCAGGGGGACUUUUUACAGGAGAAAAAAAUAAUAAUAAGUGACUUAUAAGAGAAAGAGCCCGGAGUAUUUUUGGAAGAAAAAAAAUAUUUUUGUGUUAAAACAAUUUUAAAAUCCUAAAAUGGCCAUCAGACAUAGAGAGCUUUGUGUGAUUCAUAUUUUGAAAAAACGUUAAGACACAGGCAGGGUCGAAAUCGCUUUUCCUGAACUUCGGGAAGGGCGGCCAGGACUCCGGGUGGAAGAGGGCCGGCGGUGCGGCCCACAGCCAGGGAGGGACCCCCGCUUCUCCGGCUCAGAGGCGGCCUGGGCGUCUCUUGGGGUGUGUGGACGGCGGUGGCGGCAGGAGCGGAACGCCAAGGGUGCCCGCGGCCCCGAGCACCAUUCCCCGAAGGAGCGGCGGGGCCGUCGGGCCACUCCUGGCAGGGCUGUCUGCCCGGAGCACCGCGGCGGGGCCUGGCAGAGCUGGCAGGAGUGGCUGGGGACCGCACCGGGCCUGACAGCGACAGAAAGGCACGGGGAGAGAUGUUCCAGCUCGAAGGUGGAUUCCAUACGUAGAGCAUCGCUAAUCAUUUCUGCCGUGUUCAUAGUUUUUCUCUAGCAAGGAGAAAGAUUUGCUUUAAAAAAAAAUGAAUCUUUUUACUGUUUUUUAUGAAAUUAAACAUGGCUUUGUGUUCCUGGAGGAGUUUCUUUGGAUCAGAUGGCCUUUGUCUUUGUCCUCACCCGACGCUGACCAGGUUUUCAGGUGGGGGGGUGGGCAGGCCAGGCCCCUGGGCUCGCCCGGGGUGGAGAAGGGGCCACGGGGCUGGCGAUGGGCAGGCUGCAGCCGGGCAUGCGCCCAGUGGCGCCACAGGACGGUCCGCGACGGCGGCGUCCACCCGUGGAGCACAGAGCCGCAGGGCAGGGCAGGGCCGGGCAGGACUCGGAGAACUCGCAGAGGUUGGAUCGCGCCAGACCAGCUCCGAAAGCCGGCGCCGUCAUCGGUCUCGGCUCAGGAAUGGGGCUCCGUGGACCUGCGCGCCAUUCGAGCCCAGUCGGUUGAGACCAAAAAGCGCUCGGCGGACAGACGAGUGGAGUGUUUGCUUCGGGCUGUUCGUGAAACGCUUAGCGAGAAGGUCGGAGCUGCGUGGCGUCUCCGCCCCCAGCUUUGAAGAUCGCAGAAGCCCCGGAUGCAUCGCUGGCUUCCUGCCCUCUAAAGGGACGAGCCCUGGGAGGCAGUGUGCAGCGCCGCCACCAUCACCAAGUGGACCUCUCGCCAAAUGAAGAUGGGUCGCAUCCGCAGAGCGUGAGCUGGCCAGGCUGACACCGCUUGUGUGUGACCAGCUGCUGGCGGGAGCCGACGAGGGACGCAGUCCAAGGGGUUCGCCAGAGACCCUCGCGGGAAGCUUGGGGAGCCAGGGUCUGCAGGUGCGCCGGCUUUAGCCUCCUGAUGAACCGGAGCCACUUGGGAACCGGCGGGUGGGGGCCGGGGCUGUGAGGCCAAGGACGCGUGGGCUCCAUCCCGGCACGAAUGCUGAGGAAAGCCAACCGACCGCGUGACCGGCCCAGGAAGAAGCCUCCUGGGGGCCGCGGGGGAUGAGGAUGAGAAGGCAGCCGGCGUCCCUUGAACCCGUCCCCGCUCUGCGCACAACGACAGCCCAGCCGUGAGCCGAGCGGCGUGCAGGCGGCAGCUGCGUCACUGUCCCCAGCGGCGCCCCGAGGCACCGUUAGUCCUGGAUGUCGUCUACAGCUCUUACAAGUCGGGAGGAAACACUUAAGUCUCAGUGACCAAAUGAACCUCGGUUCUGAACGCAGAGGUAACACCAGGAUCCUCCCCGGAGUUUUCAGUUGGCUUCGGAGUGACAAGCGCUCGUCCUGCACGCGUGGGAAACGAUAACGCCCCCGCCCCCCGGACGUCGGCCCCGCGCGCGACGCACGGAGACCUUGACCUUGGUUUUGUCUUUCUCGAAAUAGAUCUUGGAGCCAAGUAAAGUGCACUUUGUCAAACUUAAGGGUCUGCUUUGUUCCUCGUAAUUUUUCUCUUUUUUUAACCUCUCCUUCCACCUUUUCUUUUUAUUCAGUCGUGUUUCUUGUCAAAUGCAGAAUUGUUCCUUCCGCCGCUCUCACCGACGUUUUGAAUUCUGGCUUCUGCGGUUUUUAUUGUCUGUGUCAGACGUACAGCCAGAUGUGCUCCUCUGUCCGCAUCUUCCAGAUUCCGUUCCAUCCCCACCGGCCCCGCUCUGUUCUCCCUCCACUCCCCUCACCCUCACGCUCUCCAAGAAAAAGAAUCACCUCGUGUGUCGUAGUUCAUUUGUUUCAAGAGAGAAUCAACAGACCAUAUUCAGUGUCUUGAAUAAAUUGCUCUAUUUUGAUAGAGAA
This is a non-coding RNA of Sus scrofa (pig), 7781 nucleotides long. Lineage: Eukaryota; Metazoa; Chordata; Mammalia; Artiodactyla; Suidae. The record is from RefSeq and is a predicted model, not a curated record.